Molecule: ribosomal RNA, 253 nt
Filed under: uncultured bacterium
Lineage: Bacteria
Description: partial 16S ribosomal RNA
Rfam family: Bacterial small subunit ribosomal RNA
Source: RNAcentral
UACGUAGGGUGCAAGCGUUACUCGGAAUUACUGGGCGUAAAGGGCGCGUAGGCGGUUUGUUAAGUCUGCUGUGAAAACUCGAGGCUCAACCUCGAGCUGUCGGUGGAAACUGUCUGGCUAGAGUCCGGAAGAGGAGAGUGGAAUUCCUGGUGUAGCGGUGAAAUGCGCAGAUAUCAGGAGGAACACCGGUGGCGAAGGCGGGUCUCUGGGACGUAACUGACGCUGAGGAGCGAAAGCGUGGGGAGCGAACAGG